AUGCUCACUUCAGCAGUAUGUAUGCUAAAAUUCGAAUGAUACAGAGAAAAUCAGCAUGACCCCUUCUCAAGGAUGACACUAUAAUUUGUGAAGUGUUCCGUAUUUAA
This is a small nuclear RNA of Cebus imitator (Panamanian white-faced capuchin), 107 nucleotides long. Lineage: Eukaryota; Metazoa; Chordata; Mammalia; Primates; Cebidae. The record is from RefSeq and is a predicted model, not a curated record.